CGCACAUUGCGCCUUCUGGUAUUCCGGUAGGCAUGCCUGUUUGAGCGUCAGCAAAACCCCUCAGCGGACAGUUUUUAUUAACGGUCAGCUGGCUUUGGGCCUGGAAGACGGUGGGCGAGAGCCCCCGCUCCUGCCUUAAACUUGCUGCACGACCGCGAGCAUCUGGCUAGGUUAAUGGAGUGGUGUUUACAUUCUUUCCAUACUCUCCUGUCAGCGCUGGCGGCGUUAAACGCAAUGUUGCCCUGGCGCAACUGAAGUUUGACCUCAAAUCAGACAAGGAUACCCGCUGAACUUAA
Molecule: unclassified non-coding RNA, 296 nt
Filed under: Orbiliomycetes sp.
Lineage: Eukaryota; Fungi; Ascomycota; Orbiliomycetes
Description: partial contains 5.8S ribosomal RNA, internal transcribed spacer 2, and large subunit ribosomal RNA
Source: RNAcentral